This 1063-nucleotide ribosomal RNA is filed under the name Felimida krohni. Its description in RNAcentral is "LSU rRNA". The stretch from base 471 to 1063 matches the Rfam family "Archaeal large subunit ribosomal RNA", at positions 1423 to 2665 of the family's 2987-position model. Lineage: Eukaryota; Metazoa; Mollusca; Gastropoda; Nudibranchia; Chromodorididae. The record is from RNAcentral.
UUUGUAGACUUACUUGUUGAGAAGUUUGAGCUGUAGAAAUUACAUAGUUGGAAUAGGAAAUAAUUUAGUAUUAGUUGGUCUUACCUUUUGUAUAAUGGUUACACUAAAAUUAUACAAUAUUGUAGUUCCCGAAAUAAGAAGAACUAUCUGUUAACUUAUUUUAGUAAUAAAAGAAUUAUGUGGAAAUAUAAUUUUAAGAUUAAUAGCUAGGAGCGAAAAACUUUCAAUUCUUACGAUAUCUGGAAGUUUUAAAAAAGCAUUUAGUGCUGAGAAGUUAGUCAAGAAGCGAUGAGGUUUUUUGAGAAUAAAAUUGUAAAAUGGUAUGGUAAUUCUUUAUAAUUAAUCUUAAAGAGAUCUUUUUAUAAAAAUAUAUGGUUUUUAAAAAAUUUAUAUUCUAUAAAACUUUUCUAAAAAAUCUAAACUAGAAGAAAUAAUGUGUAGAUGAGUAAUAUAUUAAAAUAUCUUUUUUAUUUUGUUAUAAAGGUACGAUUUAAAGAAUUAUUUUUUAAAUUAGUUAAAAGGAACUCGGCAAAUAUGAACUUCGACUGUUUAACAAAAACAUAGCUUUAGGGACGGAUCUAAAGUUAUACCUGCCCAAUGUGUUUAUCAUAGCUUUAGGGACGGAUCUAAAGUUAUACCUGCCCAAUGUGUUUAUCAUGAAUGGCCGCGGUACUUUGACCGUGCUAAGGUAGCGCAAUCAAUUGGCCCUUAAUUGGGGUCAGGAAUGAAUGGAGUUACGGGGUACAGCUGUCUCUUUACUAAUUAUUUGAAGUUACUAUGUAAGUGAAAAAGCUUAUGUUGAGAAAAAGGACGAGAAGACCCUUAGAGUUUUACUUACUGUGAUGAUUAUAUUUAAGUUACUCAUAAUGGUUUAGUUGGGGCAACAUGGGAGCAAAGCAGUAAUUAACCUCCCAAAUAGGAUUAACCGAUAAUUUUAAAUUUGGAUAAACUACCUUAGGGAUAACAGCAUAAUUUUAGAAAUAAGUUUGUGACCUCGAUGUUGGACUAGGAAACUUAAAGGCUAGCCGUCUUUAAGGGAAGUUCUGUUCGAACUAUUAUUCCU